GCCGGGCGCGGUGGCGCACGCCUGUCCUCCCAGUGCCUCGGGAGGCUGAGGCAGGAGGAUCGCAAGUUGGAGGCCAGCCUCAGCCACUU
RNAcentral lists this small RNA (89 nucleotides) under Marmota monax (woodchuck). The record is from RNAcentral. Lineage: Eukaryota; Metazoa; Chordata; Mammalia; Rodentia; Sciuridae.